AGAACGAACGCUGGCGGCAUGCCUAAUACAUGCAAGUCGAACGAACACUUCGGUGUUAGUGGCGCACGGGUGCGUAACGCGUGGGAAUCUGCCCUUGGGUUCGGAAUAACAGUUGGAAACGACUGCUAAUACCGGAUGAUGACGAAAGUCCAAAGAUUUAUCGCCCAGGGAUGAGCCCGCGUAGGAUUAGCGUAGUUGG
Molecule: ribosomal RNA, 199 nt
Filed under: uncultured soil bacterium
Lineage: Bacteria
Description: partial 16S ribosomal RNA
Rfam family: Bacterial small subunit ribosomal RNA
Source: RNAcentral